AUACGUAGGGUGCAAGCGUUAAUCGGAAUUACUGGGCGUAAAGCGUGCGCAGGCGGUUCGGAAAGAAGGAUGUGAAAUCCCAGGGCUCAACCUUGGAACUGCAUUCUUAACUACCGAACUAGAGUAUGUCAGAGGGGGGUAGAAUUCCGCGUGUAGCAGUGAAAUGCGUAGAUAUGCGGAGGAAUACCGAUGGCGAAGGCAGCCCCCUGGGAUAAUACUGACGCUCAUGCACGAAAGCGUGGGUAGCAAACAGGAUUAGAUACCCUGGUAGUCCACGCCCUAAACGAUGUCAACUAGCUGUUGGGCUCUUCGGGGCUUAGUAGCGUAGCUAACGCGUGAAGUUGACCGCCUGGGGAGUACGGUCGCAAGAUUAAAACUCAAAUGAAUUGACGGGG
Molecule: ribosomal RNA, 395 nt
Filed under: uncultured bacterium
Lineage: Bacteria
Description: partial 16S ribosomal RNA
Rfam family: Bacterial small subunit ribosomal RNA
Source: RNAcentral